This 2640-nucleotide long non-coding RNA is filed under the name Sus scrofa (pig). RNAcentral describes it as "lncRNA (ENSSSCG00050049242.1)". Lineage: Eukaryota; Metazoa; Chordata; Mammalia; Artiodactyla; Suidae. The record is from RNAcentral.
GAGUUGUGGUUGAUGGUGUUUCGAGAGGGAUGCAGAGCAAGCACCCAGAGGAUUUUUGGAUUCCUGGGCACCAUGGACUCCCUCCUCCACGACGCCUCCUAUCAGGCAGAGACACAUGUGUCCCUUCAGGAUUUGGAGGCAGGCGCAGAGACACACUCAGCAUUGGGAUUGUAUGGUUAACCAACCAUGUUCAAGCCUCUGACCGUCAAGGGUUCAGUGUGGAUGGGGGUGUGGAAAUCAGCCCAAACACCCUGGACCAUCACGAUCGAGGGAAAUCCAGAACAAGAACGAAUGCAGGACCCAGCAAUCGCACUCUUGGGCUAUAUCUGGAUGCAUCGUCUUUCAACAAGGUCUUCAUACCAGGUGCAUCGUGAGAACAAAAGCAGCUCACAUGGAAAGAAAAAGAAUUUCGAGAUCUUAGAAGAGAAGAAGCACAGGGAAUAUUGCGGCUACUCACCAAAAUGUCACCUCUGUACCACCUUCCAGGGACAACAUGCAGGCACUUUAUCCGGUUCCCAAAGCCCAGCAAUAUUCACAAUAGCCAAGACAAGGAAACAAACUCAAUGUCCAUCGACAGAUGAACGGAUUAAGAAGAUGUUGUUCAAAGAUUCAGUGGAAUACUACGAUGCAUCCAUACAAAAAGCCCAAAAAAUGACAAUCUCAGCAACAUAGAUGUCUCCAGAAACAUCCUGUGUGAAGUAAGUCAGAAAAUGAAAGACAAUACCAUAGCUUUCCCUUGGUUCUGGAAUCUAUCAAAAGGCACGAAUGAACCUGUCUCCCAAAAAGAAAAUCUUGGACUGGUAAAGAGAUUGUGGUUGCCAGAUUGGGGGUGGUGGUGGAUGUAUGUUGGCAUGGAUUUAGGGGGUUAAUGGAUGCAAACUCUAAUACUUGGAGAGGGUUAGCAAUGGGAUCCUGCUCUACAACACAGGAAACUAUCUGGACUUCUUUUUUUGGAACUAGAUGAAAGAUAAUGUGAAAAAAAUGACAUCUAUGUACAAGUACGAAUGGAUCACAUUGCUGUUAAAGAGAAAUUGAGAGAGUACUAUCAAUCAGGUAGAGUGGAAAUAAAAAAGGAUAAAAGAAGACAUUACAGGCUCAGUGUUCACCAGAGAAGAUGUAGGGUCUAGCCUCCUGCACCUCGAGAAAAAAAGCAGGCAACCUGACUCUGUCGAACUUGUCAAUAUUUCUUAGCAAUGGGGCACCCGACCAGACGUAAUGACCUAGGGUGUAUGAAUUGAGUUAUACUGUAACAUCUUUAUUUAUUUAUUUCGAUUCACCUAUUUUUCUGCACACAGGUGGGGCAGGCAGAUACCAUCUGGCCAGGUAUUGAAUCCACCUCACUGCUUCUUUUAGCCCAGGCCCCUACUGAAACCCUCUGUCACCAGAGAUAGAGGGUCAGGAGGUCCUUUAUUUCUGCUAUCGAUUCCCUUAGCCACUCUGGAGGAAUAUAUGGAUGUAUGUAUUGACCUCAUUAUCAAUGAAGCUCAUUUGUUCAAUAUCUCUCUUUAUGUAUAAAUUUAUUUGGGUGCCACUGCGACUUGGGAUGUUGUCUGGCCAGGGUUUAAUCUCCCAACACAGCUCUUACCACAGCCACAGCAGUGACAGAGAGAGACUCUUAAGACCAGCAACCACGAGGGAACUCCCUGAGAGCGUGCUUGGUGAUACCAAUCCACCCUGCUUAAUUCAUCACUCCUGGCUUUGGUCGGGCCUCCAAUGCCGUGGCGCGGUAGUGAAAACAGAGGAUCAUCGCAAAAGGCAAGAAGGAAAUUUCCCUAGGUCUCUUGAGCAAGAAAAGCACAGGGAUUAGCACAGCUGCCCACCAUCAUGCUGCCCAAGUCUCCCCAUUCUUUUGUCAGCACCAGCCUCUCUCUCCACAUCCCUACAGCCCUGACAACCAGGGGCUUCAACAUGGCCAUCUCACCUUUCAACACAGAUGCUGUGUGGGUCUCGGCUCCUGCCUCUGGAGGAACACAAGGCAUUUGGAAACCCAGUGAGUCCCUUCAGCAUUUUAAACACACUGCCACCCAACCAGGCUGCCCAGCCACAUCCAAUGCUGAAGGGACACCUAUGUCCUCUGCCUGACAUGAGGCAUCUUAGAGUAGAGAUUCCCAGGUGCCCAGAAAAAGAAAAAAACCCAAAUCUCCUGGUGCUUCCUGUGAGUUCUGCCCAACACAACAUCCACCCCACCUGUGAGCCUGCCUCUGCUGCCCAGAGCGGCACCUGGGUCCAGAAGGUCCUCUGGCGCCGUCUUGUGGCCAUCUGCUCUAACAGCAACCCUCAGGGUGGCCUCCUCUCUCUAGCUCAGCAGCCCCCUGGGGGCUGCAUUGGCUCUGGGCAAUAUGCUGGGUGGAUUCUCUUCCUCCAUUUUCUUGAAAUACCAAGAACUUCCCUUCCAAGUGGGCUAUUUCUCUCUCGAAGGCUUUCAGAGCCCUGAGAUCAACCUACGCCCAAACCACUCCCAUCACUCAUCUCCGAACCAUUGUGUCAUGACAGCAUUCUUCUUUUUGAGAUAUGCCAGCACUUAUGUACUUAUGAAGAUAGGUGUGUAUAUAUGGAACCAUGGAUUUUUUUCUUAAUUUUCCAACUGUUGUUCCUUCACUCAUACAAUAAAGCCUUGAUUCUUUUCUUUCUUUCUUACUG